This is a long non-coding RNA of Pezoporus occidentalis (night parrot), 1033 nucleotides long. RefSeq lists it as uncharacterized. Lineage: Eukaryota; Metazoa; Chordata; Aves; Psittaciformes; Psittacidae. The transcript has 3 exons. The record is from RefSeq and is a predicted model, not a curated record.
GUCCAUUCAGAUUUAGUGUGCUUUAUGAAAUAAUAGAAUUUAGUCCUUCCUUUGGUGUAGCACAAUUCUGUGGUUUAUUUAUUUUUUUUAAUACCUUCUAGCUCAAUAUGACUUCUAAGGACUACUCUGAGUAAGCACAUAAAAUCUUGAGAUGAGGUCCUGUAGUUUUGGUUUUUUUGUUUUUGUUUUUGUUUUUGUUUUUUUUUUAUAAUGAACAAAAAAGAAUUAUAGGAAGGUAGCUGAAGCAACAUGUAGAUGGCUUAUGAUUUUCUGUUAAAUUCCUUGGCAUUUAUUUAACAAAUUAUGAUUUUUGUCUUCUGCUGCUACUAAGCCUCAUAGGGAUGUAAAUUUUGCAUGUUCUCCUUUACCUCAUUUGAUGUUUACCAAUUAUUAGUUUGGGAACCUUUACUUUUGGAGUUGUUAAGAGACUUGGCCCUCUUCUGGAAGUAUGCUUAUCAUCCAUGGGGCAUGUGGCUUUACAUCAGCAUUCUACUAGAUAAGCACACUGAGUUCCUCUUUAAAGUGUGGAGGGUCUUCCUUCAUGGUUUCAUCUGAAUUUAGAGGCAAGCAGACAGGAGAAGCAAGACACAGUGACAAUCACAGGAGCAUUAAUUAUUCCUUUCCUGUCUGCUCUUGGAUACCUGUAGUGGUCAUGAAAGGUGGGCAGAUACAUCCUGCAGUUGACUGAGAAACUUUGUACCUAGAUACUACAGUGGUGAACAGCAGUAAGAGUUCACUGAAUCCUUACAGAUAGUUUCUACAGAACAUCAGACUAAUGGAACUUUCAGUUCACCCAUUACCUAACCAUACAAUUUGCUAACAUUAAGGUUUUGAACCUGUAUGUUUUACAAAAGAAGCAUUGAAUGAACACUGACAUAAAAGCAAGCUUCAGCUCUGUGGGACAAAAAACACACUUGUGAAUUUUCCCCUAUUUUCCUCUCUUAUUGCAUGUUGGUAAUAUUUUCUGGGAAAAUAUCACCCAAAGAACAUUUCUUAUCAUCAUGUGUCUUUCUUGAAGAACAGUAUUUCUUUU